AUCAAGAUGUCCAAAGCUUUUUUUCCUCUGUAAUCUUUAAUCAUUUUAAAACUUUUUAAUGUAAAACUUCAAAGAAACACAGAAGGAGACAAUGUUAAAUGAACCACUUCAGAACUGACCCUUAAAGACUUUCUAUGCUGGUCUUGAACUUGGGAUCUUUCUACUUAAGCCUCAGAGGUUGAAAUUCAAGCCUGUACCACCAGUACCAGUUUCUCUGCAUUUUUGUCAUAUAGGAAGAAAUACAGAGACCCACAAGAAGACAUUAUGAGUAACUAACAGAUUAUGGAACACAGAGUUUUAAAUGGGAUGUCUUUAUCAAAGCAACCAUGGUAACCCUGUGGAACAGGAGCUGUAAGAGCCAGAGGAGAUGGAGGACACCAGGAGAACAAGGCCAUCUAAACUAUGAAUAAGGCUUAUAUCAAUUCUCAGAAACUGAAUCAGCAUCCACACGGCCUGUGUAAGUCUGCACCAAGGCCUCUGAGCAUAUAUUAUAACUUCUAGUUAAGUGUUUUUAUGGGAUUUCUGAGUGUGUAAUGAAUUGGUAUGUAAUUUCUCUUGGGUUCUUUCCUUCUGUUUGUGUGUUUUGUUCAAUUACAAUGUGUUAUUUCUUGUUUUAUCUUAUUACAUAUUAUUAUAUUAUAUUUUAUUUUGUUAUUAUCACAUAAAAACUGUAAGCAAAGGCUGCUCAUUCAUUUCCUGGAUGCUCAUACCUGAAUUGUCACAGAGAAACUACAUUAAUUUCAGCACUGGUUAGCCUAUUAACUUAGGAUUCUUAUUGGCUAGUUUCUAUUUCUUAAUUUAAACCACCUACUCUCUCUAUCUCUAUCUCUUUCAGCCUGGCUAUAUUCUGCCCUCCUAUGGGCCAAAGUAGCUUUAUUCAUUAACAAAUAAAAGCAGCACAUAUACAGAAGAACAUACCACAACAUCUCCCCUUUUCUGUCUAAUUAAAAAGAAAGAUUUUAAAUUUAGCAUAGUAAAAUUACAUACAAAACAGGUAUCAGUCAAAAAUUACACUUACAAUAAAUGUUAUAUCUAAUUUAUCCUCUAUCAUAUCUAAGGAAAAUUAUGAUAACCUAUUCUUCAACUCCAUCAAAGACCUCAAAAGGAUAUAAUAUUACCUAAGUAAACAGUAAGUGCAUCAUAAGAAAAUCCAAAACUUUAAAACUGACAGAGAUAUCUUGCUAUCCCAGUUCUUUUUUAAUGUUGGGGCACCCAUCUUCAGCCUACAGGUCCAUAGUGUCUGGCAGACAUUUCCAUGAAGCAGAACAUUUGAAAAGCUUUUUUGACUAUAUUAGAAGUUUGUCAUUCACUUUCUUCUGUUUCCUGCAAAUGCUUUCAUGAAGCAGAAAUCCUGAAGGACUGUUUUACCUUUAGGCAAGUUCAACAGUCAUUUUUCUGUGGAUCCUGCAUUCCAGUUCAUACAGCAUACCAUUAAGCAGUGCAGGCAAAAGCAGUUUCUUGCCCAAAUGGCUAGCAAACUCCAACCUCUUCAAUGCCCAUCAUCCUCUUUAAAUAGAUGAUGCUACCAAAAGCAGACAUGCCUCUUUGUCAAGAAAAGUCUAAGUUCUUAAAACCUUUUAAAUGCCAUAUUCUGUAAGUGUUUAGUGUUAAAGAUUAUUUAUCUAACUGAAAAAUGUAUCUGUAUAUCUAGAAAACCUAACUGACUACAAGUUUGACUAUUAUAAAGGACUAUCUAUUUGUCUGUAAUUUGUAAAUAUAUAAUACAUAUUAAAUGAGUUGCACAAACAUAAUACCUUAAGAGCUGAGAUACAUAUGCACAAUGUAACAAAACUGACCUUGAAUUUGUAUCAGUAUAUCAAGAUCCAUACCAAUGCCAAAUAUUCAUCUCUAUAUCAUAUUACUUUUUUGAAAAUUGAUUGUUACCAUUAACCAUUUAUAACCAACUUUUUUAAAAUGAAAAUAAACAUUUAUAAACAAUAUUUGUGAAUUUGGGCAUAGUUCUCUAAAAUACUUCCUGUUUAUUAUUGGGCAAAGUAUUCUUAGCAUACAUGGAGACUUUUCAGGGGGUCUUAUUCCAUUAAAUCAUAUUAGCCUGGAAGGAAUCCAUAGAUUCUUAUUUUCUAUGGAAACAAAAGCAGAACCGCUUUUCCAAAGUAACAUAUCUUUAGACUCAAUUUUUUUUUCUUUUUCUUUUUUUUUAUUGAGAAUAAGAAAAAAAAGUUUCUGCCUCCUCCCAGCCUCCCAUUUCCCUCCCCCUCCCCCCAAUCUUCUUCCCCUCCCCCCUCUCUUC
This is a long non-coding RNA of Alexandromys fortis (reed vole), 2251 nucleotides long. RefSeq lists it as uncharacterized. The record is from RefSeq and is a predicted model, not a curated record. Lineage: Eukaryota; Metazoa; Chordata; Mammalia; Rodentia; Cricetidae. The transcript is spliced from 3 exons.